AUUGAACGCUGGCGGCAGGCCUAACACAUGCAAGUCGAGCGGAUGAAGGGAGAUUGCUCCUGGAUUCAGCGGCGGACGGGUGAGUAAUGCCUAAGAAUCUGCCUGGUAGUGGGGGAUAACGUCCGGAAACGGGCGCUAAUACCGCAUACGCCCUGAGGGAGAAAGUGGGGGAUCUUCGGACCUCACGCUAUCAGAUGAGCCUAGGUCGGAUUAGCUAGUUGGUGGGGUAAAGGCCUACCAAGGCGACGAUCCGUAACUGGUCUGAGAGGAUGAUCAGUCACACUGGAACUGAGACACGGUCCAGACUCCUACGGGAGGCAGCAGUGGGGAAUAUUGGACAAUGCGCGAAAGCCUGAUCCAGCCAUGCCGCGUGUGUGAAGAAGGUCUUCGGAUUGUAAAGCACUUUUAGUUGGGAAGAAGAGCAGUAAGUUAAUACCUUGCUGUUUUGACGUUACCAACAGAAUAAGCACCGGCUAACUUCGUG
RNAcentral lists this ribosomal RNA (484 nucleotides) under uncultured bacterium. RNAcentral describes it as "partial 16S ribosomal RNA". It matches the Rfam family "Bacterial small subunit ribosomal RNA", at positions 30 to 507 of the family's 1533-position model. The record is from RNAcentral.